This 253-nucleotide ribosomal RNA is filed under the name uncultured bacterium. RNAcentral describes it as "partial 16S ribosomal RNA". It matches the Rfam family "Bacterial small subunit ribosomal RNA", at positions 524 to 776 of the family's 1533-position model. The record is from RNAcentral.
UACGGAGGGUGCAAGCGUUAUCCGGAUUCACUGGGUUUAAAGGGUGCGUAGGCGGGCAGAUAAGUCAGUGGUGAAAUCUCCGAGCUUAACUCGGAAACUGCCGUUGAUACUAUUUGUCUUGAAUACUGUGGAGGUAAGCGGAAUAUGUCAUGUAGCGGUGAAAGGCUUAGAUAUGACAUAGAACACCAAUUGCGAAGGCAGCUUCCUACACAGCGAUUGACGCUGAUGCACGAAAGCGUGGGGAUCAAAAAGG